This 429-nucleotide ribosomal RNA is filed under the name Pseudomonadota bacterium. RNAcentral describes it as "Proteobacteria bacterium partial 16S ribosomal RNA". It matches the Rfam family "Bacterial small subunit ribosomal RNA", at positions 355 to 776 of the family's 1533-position model. Lineage: Bacteria; Pseudomonadati; Pseudomonadota. The record is from RNAcentral.
UGGGGAAUAUUGGACAAUGGGCGAAAGCCUGAUCCAGCCAUGCCGCGUGUGUGAAGAAGGUCUUCGGACUGUAAAGCACUUUAAGUUGGGAGGAAGGGCAGUAAGCGAAUACCUUGCUGUUUUGACGUUACCGACAGAAUAAGCACCGGCUAACUCUGUGCCAGCAGCCGCGGUAAUACAGAGGGUGCAAGCGUUAAUCGGAUUUACUGGGCGUAAAGCGUGCGUAGGCGGCUAAUUGAGUCGGAUGUGAAAUCCCCGAGCUUAACUUGGGAAUUGCAUUCGAUACUGGUUAGCUAGAGUGUGGGAGAGGAUGGUAGAAUUCCAGGUGUAGCGGUUAAAUGCGUAGAGAUCUGGAGGAAUACCGAUGGCGAAGGCAGCCAUCUGGCCUAACACUGACGCUGAGGUACGAAAGCAUGGGGAGCAAACAGG